UACGAAGGGGGCUAGCGUUGCUCGGAAUCACUGGGCGUAAAGGGUGCGUAGGCGGAUCUUUAAGUCAGGGGUGAAAUCCUGGAGCUCAACUCCAGAACUGCCUUUGAUACUGGGGAUCUUGAGUUCGGGAGAGGUGAGUGGAACUGCGAGUGUAGAGGUGAAAUUCGUAGAUAUUCGCAAGAACACCAGUGGCGAAGGCGGCUCACUGGCCCGAUACUGACGCUGAGGCACGAAAGCGUGGGGAGCAAACAGG
Molecule: ribosomal RNA, 253 nt
Filed under: uncultured bacterium
Lineage: Bacteria
Description: partial 16S ribosomal RNA
Rfam family: Bacterial small subunit ribosomal RNA
Source: RNAcentral